UUCUUGGGAGGAGCAUGCUAG
Molecule: microRNA, 21 nt
Filed under: Sorghum bicolor (sorghum)
Lineage: Eukaryota; Viridiplantae; Streptophyta; Magnoliopsida; Poales; Poaceae
Description: sbi-miR6223-5p
Source: miRBase by way of RNAcentral